This 433-nucleotide ribosomal RNA is filed under the name uncultured bacterium. RNAcentral describes it as "partial 16S ribosomal RNA". It matches the Rfam family "Bacterial small subunit ribosomal RNA", at positions 29 to 507 of the family's 1533-position model. The record is from RNAcentral.
AACGAACGCUGGCGGCAUGCUUAACACAUGCAAGUCGAACGAGACCUUCGGGUCUAGUGGCGCACGGGUGCGUAACGCGUGGGAACCUGUCCUUAGGUUCGGAAUAACUCCCCGAAAGGGGUGCUAAUACCGGAUAAUGUCUUCGGACCAAAGAUUUAUCGCCUUUGGAUGGGCCCGCGUUGGAUUAGAUUGUUGGUAGGGUAAAAGCCUACCAAGGCGACGAUCCAUGGCUGGUCUGAGAGGAUGAUCAGCCACACUGGGGCUGAGAAACGGCCCAGACUUCUACGGGAGGCAGGCGAUGGGAAUAUUGGACAAUGGGCGAAAGCCUGAUCCAGCAAUGCCGCGUAAGUGAUGAAGGCCUUAGGGUUGUAAAGCUCUUUUACACGGGGUGAAAAUGACAGUACCGGGAGAAUAAGCUCCGGCUAACUCCGUG